CACGUUGCUGGUAUACUUUAGUCAGUCAGUUGUGUUCCAAAGCGUACAGGACACAUUUGCCGUAUUUCUUGAAUUAUUUUACUCGUGGUACCGUUAAAAAACACAAAACUUAAACAAAAUGUGUGACGAUGAGGUUGCUGCUUUGGUCGUUGAUAAUGGCUCCGGUAUGUGCAAGGCCGGUUUCGCCGGUGAUGACGCACCCCGUGCUGUCUUCCCCUCAAUUGUAGGUCGCCCACGUCAUCAAGGUGUCAUGGUUGGUAUGGGCCAAAAGGAUUCCUAUGUAGGUGAUGAAGCCCAAUCCAAGAGAGGUAUCUUGACCCUCAAAUACCCAAUUGAACACGGUAUCAUCACCAACUGGGAUGAUAUGGAAAAGAUCUGGCAUCACACCUUCUACAAUGAAUUGCGUGUUGCCCCAGAAGAGCACCCAGUCUUGCUCACUGAAGCCCCAUUGAACCCAAAGGCUAACCGCGAGAAGAUGACCCAAAUCAUGUUCGAAACCUUCAACUCACCAGCUAUGUAUGUUGCCAUCCAAGCUGUACUCUCCUUGUACGCUUCCGGUCGUACCACUGGUAUCGUUUUGGAUUCUGGUGAUGGUGUCUCACACACUGUACCAAUCUAUGAAGGUUAUGCUUUGCCCCAUGCCAUCCUCCGUUUGGAUUUGGCUGGUCGCGAUUUGACCGACUACUUGAUGAAGAUCUUGACUGAACGUGGUUACUCAUUCACCACCACUGCCGAACGUGAAAUUGUUCGUGACAUUAAGGAAAAAUUGUGCUAUGUUGCUUUGGACUUCGAACAAGAAAUGGCCACCGCUGCCGCCUCCACCUCAUUGGAGAAAUCCUAUGAACUUCCUGACGGUCAAGUUAUCACCAUUGGUAAUGAACGUUUCCGUUGCCCAGAAUCCCUCUUCCAACCUUCCUUCUUGGGUAUGGAAUCAUGCGGUAUCCAUGAAACCGUCUACAACUCAAUCAUGAAGUGCGACGUAGAUAUCCGUAAGGACUUGUACGCCAACAUUGUCAUGUCUGGUGGUACCACCAUGUACCCAGGUAUUGCCGAUCGUAUGCAAAAGGAAAUCACCGCCUUGGCUCCAUCAACCAUCAAGAUCAAGAUCAUUGCCCCACCAGAACGUAAAUACUCCGUAUGGAUCGGUGGUUCCAUCUUGGCUUCCCUCUCCACCUUCCAACAGAUGUGGAUCUCAAAGGAAGAAUACGACGAAUCCGGCCCAGGCAUUGUCCACCGCAAGUGCUUCUAAGCUAUUUAAUAAUAUUAUACAACACACAUGUACCUACUUUUGUAAAUGUAUUGGUGUUAAUCAACAUUAUAUACAUUUGCAAGAGUAUACAUACGCC
Molecule: RNA transcript, 1346 nt
Organism: Teleopsis dalmanni
Lineage: Eukaryota; Metazoa; Arthropoda; Insecta; Diptera; Diopsidae
Gene name: actin-57B
Exons: 3
Source: RefSeq, a predicted model, not a curated record